RNAcentral lists this ribosomal RNA (482 nucleotides) under uncultured bacterium. Its description in RNAcentral is "bacterial SSU rRNA". It matches the Rfam family "Bacterial small subunit ribosomal RNA", at positions 26 to 518 of the family's 1533-position model. The record is from RNAcentral.
UCUGGCGUACAGGACGAACGCUGGCGGCGUGCUUCAUACAUAGCAAGUCGAACGAUAAGGUCCUUCGGGAAUACAUAAGUGGCGGACGGUGAGUAAUAUGUAGAGAAUCUGCCCUGAAGAGGGGGACGAACAGAGGGAAACUUCUGCUAAUACCCCAUAUGCGCGUAGUUGGGAUACUAUUCGUGAAAGAUUUAUCGCUUCAGGAUGAGUCUGCAUCUGAUUAGCUAGUUGGGGGUGUAAUGGACCACCAAGGCGACGAUCAGUAGCUGGUUUGAGAGGAUGAUCAGCCACAAUGGGACUGAGACACGGCCCAUACUCCUACGGGAGGCAGCAGUAGGGAAUUUUGCGCAAUGGGCGAAAGCCUGACGCAGCAACGCCGCCGUGAUCGCAGACGGCCUUCGGGUUGUAAAGAUCUGUCAGCAGGGACGAACAAUGACUGUACCUGCAGAGGAAGCACCGGCUAACUCCGUGCCAGCAGCGGC